This 5229-nucleotide long non-coding RNA is filed under the name Fragaria vesca (wild strawberry). Its description in RNAcentral is "long non-coding RNA (FVES_LNC003891)". The record is from RNAcentral. Lineage: Eukaryota; Viridiplantae; Streptophyta; Magnoliopsida; Rosales; Rosaceae.
CUAAACAAGGUAAUACAAUGCUACAGAAAAUAUGGCAAUUUCAAACACUCCACCAAGAGCCAAUCAGAAAGAUAGUUCACUAAACAAGGUAAUAUAACGCAUGCAUUAGAUGGAGCCAGAAUACUCUCACAAGUUAAACAACAACAGGUUUUAAGCCUAGUUCACAAGCACAAUGCUGUAACUAAGUUCCCAAUAACCAGAAGAUUGACUUGGGUAGAUCAUAGGAUUGCUAACAUUAUACAUAAUAUUCAUAAGUAGAGUAGACAGUUAAAACACGACUCAUACAUAAUACAUUACUUGUUCUCGGGCUUUGUCUCAUGACCAGAAGACGGGACUCUGAGGGUGAGACAUUCCCUCCUGAACUCCUUAGCCUCAUCAGUAUCCUUAUCUGGGCAGUCAUCAGUCAAGUGAGCACCACGCGCGCCACAGUUAUAGCAACAUAUCACAUAAACAAAUUUUUUUUGUCCACUCCCAGGGACAUAAGAACCCCAUGCACAUCCCUCAGGUAAAGAUUCUGGUAGUUCCACUUUUCGAAAGGCUUUACUGAGACUAGGAUCUCUCUCUUUGCAAACAGAGAAAAAAAAGGGUAUUGAAUGAGAGAUAUAGAAAAGUCAUGAUAACGAAAUGUAUGUUUUAUGGGAGAUGAUGAUGACUCAAUGAGGAGCAAAUCAGAAACAUCAGAGUUAACAAGUGUGUGUGUGUGUGUGGGCAACAUGAUGCUAAGCAACCUAGUGGUGUUGGGGAUCAUUGAAGUUAGAAACUUAAUACACAUGUAUGAUACAGGGAACAUAAUUAUCUUUUAACCAGUGGCAGAUCCAGAAUGUAAAUUUUGUCUAGGCUAACUAGAGAAUUUUUGUGUAGGCUCAAGCCCAAGCCUUCUACAUAGAUCCACCCUGCUCCUAACUCUGAAUAAUCAUACAGCAAAAUGAGCAAACUUAAUCAAUAUCAUAUUCUUUUUACUAAUUUAUGUUCUUCAAUUCAUUCAUUAAUUCAAAUGCAAUGCAAUGCUGCAAACAAAUAAAGCACAAUCGUAUUGAUUCCUCGUAGAAAACACAAACACAGAGGCGUAAACACCUUGCAGAUAAUUCGAUGAGCUACAUGGUCAAAAAAAUUACCAAUAUGAAAAGUAAAGAAAUAAAAUCAAGAGCAUACUCGCAAAAUAGGCCGUCCAAGCCUUUUCGGCCCGUUCUUCUGGCGUGAGUAAUAGAUCUUCGGGAGUCCAACCUAGUUCGGCUAAUGAAGAUUCUAGGUCGGAGCCGUUUUCUUGAUCGGAGCCGUUCGUCUUCGACUUCUUGGCGGGGGAUGAGGGGUCCAAGUCCGAUGGUAAGGAUGUGGGGUUCGGCCUCUUCGGUUGGUUCAUUUCCGGUGGUGAGGAUUUGGGUUUCAGUUCCGGUGGGGAGGAUUUGGGGUCUUCGUUUAGGUUUGAGGUUGUGGCGUGUCCUGAUUAAUACUCGGUCUGUGAACCAGAAAUCAAAUAUGGGAUUUGGGCCAAUUUUUUCCUUCUUUUAAUAGAAGGGCCGACCUUCUUCUUUUCUUUUAAUAGAGACAAGGAAAGUGAAGCUGAAUUGGUAAGUGUUAUGUGGUUGUUUUGUUGCAGAACAAGAACAAUGGAGAAGGAUGCAAUCGCUUUGAUGGAUCAUUUGGGGCGGACGUAGCCGUGAGACUUUGGGGUGAUGUCGAAUCAGGGUUUGGAGCUUCGGCUGUCAUGGCUGGCUUCAAGCAGCUCAAAUGGAGACUCAGACUCGGUAAAGGAAGAGAAUAGUACGGAGAAAGAAAAUGAAGAAAAGAAAAAUCAUUUAACAAAAGACAUGUUAGAAAAAAUAACAGGUAGGAAAAACUCUUAAAAAAAUAAAAAAUAAAAGACCAAAACACAAAUAAUUUAUGCCAGUUGACAUGCUCCAUAACGGAAUUAACGCAGGUAAACACUUUUCUUUAGUCGAGAUAAGAACGUUAGAUAUUGUUUUUAAGUUUUUCAAAGUUAAGAUACCAAAGUUUUGUUUAUAUAAAACAUGAGAUACUGUUUGAACAAUUUUCCCUCUUUAUAUUUCAAUCUAGUUAGUCUGGCCUUCAUACGUGAGUUCUCUUACACAUUGCUUUUGGACCCAAUUAAUUCCUAAGCUUUCUGUUUUUUUCCUUUCAUGAAGAGUGAAGAUGAAUUCCAGUCUUGCAUAAGCUUGAAGAAGGAUAAGAAUUGACGAAGUUAACAAACUAACAAUCCACGUAGCUUUUAUUUAGAAUAUUGUACGUAAACGUGUUGUUGGCUUAUUGGUUGGGACACCAUCUCAGCCUUAUUCCGGGUACACCUAAUUCCUUAAAUUAAACAACUUGUUGAUACCCAAAAUUCCACGAGUUCGUUUCUUUAAGUUGACAUAUGCCCACAGCCUUAUUGGGCCUUCAUCCAAGCUUAAUAUGGUCGAAGAGACUUCCUUGAAAAAUGACAAACUCAAGUUCUGCCAUGCAAACAUAACACGUAGACCUAAGCUACAUCCAUUGGGGCUUACAGAGGGGAUGUGGUGUGGAAGGCAACAUGAUGCUAAGCAACCUAGUGGUGUUGGGGAUCAUUGAAGUUAGAAAAUUAAUACACAUGUAUGAUACAUGGCACAUAAUUAUCUUUUAACUAGUGGCAGAUCCAGAAUGUAAAUUGUCUAACUCUGAAUAAUCAUACAGCAAAAUAAGCAAACUUAAUCAAUAUCAUAUUCUUUUCACUAUUUUCUGUUCUUCAAUUCAUUCAUUGAUUCAAAUGCAAUGCAAUGCAGUGCUGCAAACAAAUAAAGCACAAUCGUAUUGAUUCCUCGUAGAAAACACAAAUACAGAGGCUACAACAAGCUCUGAGAGGUAUUCCAAAGAAUGCCUCUGAGUAAGUCCCUGAAGAUUAUAAGAGUUGGGACAUGAAAAGGUACUCACUAACAUCUUGCUUGUUCUCAAUAAUCCCAGUAACAACAUUUAGAUUCUCAAAGAAGAUAUAAAAUGUGCCAACCAGUUGAAGAAAGUGCCUUCUACAAAUCUUGCUGAAACUAUGCCAUUCCGCAAGGUCGAUGAAUUUGAGUGAGCAUGCAGCACCCUCGCCCUAGUUAAGGCAAGACAUCUUAUAAACAUCUUAGAAUUCCCAGUCCAUAGAUUCCUCCACGAACUCGUUGUCGACAAAUUUUCGUGCGGCAAGACGUUCAUAGUCAUGUUUAGAAUCAUGAGGAAGCCGCAAGUUUUUAAUACCAUCAAGGCAUCUUGUUUUUAAUUCUUCAUCCAGUUCGAGACCAAAAUGGCCGGAGCGAUCCCGACCCAGAUUAAUAUGCCAACAAUGUCGCAGAUCAAGUGUCUCAAGCAGCGGACAGCCAUCAAGAAUGGCGCGCAAGUCCUUGCUAGUGAGCUUAUUUCCGAAAAGCUGAAGGUGGUGUAAACCAUGCAUUGUUUCUGCUACAGCAUGUGCAUCGCCAUCCCACCCAAGAAAAAACCAUUUAGUGUUGUACUUGUUCAAUUUCAAUGAUUUCAAACGAGGGCAACAACGGCCAAUCACUUCAACAUUGGCAUGUCGUGUGUGUUCGAAGGGAGGAAUAUCGAGUCUGUAGUUGCAGUGUGAAAGUUCAAGUUCCUCCAACAGCGGCAGCUUUGGAGCUGCUUCAAUCAGUCCAUUAGUUGUUAUGUUAGACAACACAAAACAGAGCCGUUUGAUUCCCCUACAACUAUAUAGAAAAAAGUUAUGAAUGAACAUGUUAGCAGGUAUCCAAAAUCCAAAUCUCGAGAUAAUUAAACAUUCAUAGAUCCAAAAUUCAACUUGUAGAAAAUUACAAUACCUGUCAGUGAUAUGCUUAAGGAGAUCGUCGGAGCCGAAGUUGUGAACACUGAUCCCCACGAGGUUGCCACAGCUAAGAUCAACGGCUUUCCUACACAACAUGUCCAUCUGGUACCGCGAGGAGGACGACUUGCCAUAAAGCGAAUCGUCGCGCAUGUCGAUGGUGAGCCAGUUUCUAGGGUCCAUGCAGAUUCUGCGCCAUGUCGUACACACGUACACAGCGGUCACCAGGAUCUCGAUGGCUCCCAGCCGUGACAGUAUAGAAGCUGUGAUUUCUUCAGGGAGGUCGAUCCAGUCUUGUCGCUGGGUUUUGUUUGAGGGUUCGGCCAUUGUUAUCCAAGGUGUUGGAGGCUAGGUUUUAAUUUAUAGUUGGUAUGGUCUUUAAUUUAUUGGGCCAGCAGUGAGCAGCCCAUCUUAGAACAAGAACUGCGUCCUUCAACGUCUGAAGAACGCCAGCUCCAUGAAUCGCACUUUUUCUUAAUCACGGAAGUUAAACCAAUCUGUAAUUUGGAAUCAAACAAGCUAACAUUACUGGUAAACUGGAGAUGCAGAAGCACAAUAUCUUUGCCACUAGAAACCUUUCCCUAACAAGUAACAACACACACAUGCACACAAUGGCAGAUUGGCAACAAUACUACCUUAUUAGCAGCUGAUCAGAAAUAGAACUAUACUGCAGAGAAAUUCUAGACCAUUGGGAUAUGGAUGACGGCUACAACAUUUGAUUUGACCUUCAACUCAAACUCAAUUUCAUGGUGACCAUUCCAGGGGGAACAUUUUAUCAAUUGCUCAUCUACCAUGAACAAAUGGUCAAAUUAUCUGCAUCAUACUCAUAAUCAUCAGUUGAUCACCAUUAGGAAGCCGAAGUAUUUUAAUUCGUUCAACCAAUCAUCAGUGAAUGUGGCCUUUGCCGAUCCAUCAGUUCUCAAUGAUCGAUUAAUAAUCUCACAACUGAGUUUAAUUAUAUGUCUUUGGCUUUGAUCAAACAUAUGUAUAGUGUCACAUUGUGUAAUAUCAAACAUACAUGUUUUGCCGUUUGAGAGGCUACUGAAAAUAUGACAAUUUUAAACACUCUACAUUAAAAAUUUAUCAGAAAGAAAGAUCACUAAACAAGGUAAUACAAUGCUACAGAAAAUAUGGCAAUUUCAAACACUCCACCAAGAGCCAAUCAGAAAGAUAGUUCACUAAACAAGGUAAUACAACGCAUGCAUUAGAUAGACAUAAUACUCUCACAAGUUAAACAACCAUAGGUUUUUAGCCUAGUUCACAAGCACAAUACUGUAACUAAGUUCCCAAUAACCAGAAGAUUGACUUGGGUAGAUCAUAGGAUUGCUAACAUUAUACAUAAUAUUCAUAUAGGGAAAUAAGUAGAGUAGACAGUUAAAACACGACUCAUACAUAAUACAUUACUUGUUCUCGGGCUUUGUCUCAUGACCAGAAGACGG